GCGGGCGUAGCUCAAUGGUAGAGCUCCAGCCUUCCAAGCUGGAUGUUGCGCGUUCGAGUCGCGUCGCCCGCU
Molecule: transfer RNA, 72 nt
Filed under: Phycisphaerae bacterium
Lineage: Bacteria; Pseudomonadati; Planctomycetota; Phycisphaerae
Description: tRNA-Gly
Rfam family: tRNA
About the family: Transfer RNA (tRNA) molecules are approximately 80 nucleotides in length. Their secondary structure includes four short double-helical elements and three loops (D, anti-codon, and T loops).
Source: RNAcentral